GUCUUUCGGCAGGGAGAGGCGCUCUGGGGCUGCCGAAGCGGCCGGGGCGGAACAGACGUGUUCAGCCCGCCUCGAUCCAGUUAACUGAGGCCCUGGACACCUCCAGCCCGUUAGAGGCUCCCACGGCUCCCCAGGCGCACCUUCAAAUGCGAAGCCAGGCUUUGUACGUCUGUGACGCAGGGCUGUGCGCUAGGCGCCGUCCCGCCAAGUGCAGGGCCAGGGCUGCCUUCGGGAGCGACCGAUUCCUAACGAGGUCCCCGGCGCUCGUGCAGACUCGCCCGCGGCCUAGGCUUGAGCCCGAGGCCACGCCUGACUUGGAUCCUUUAUUUCCUUACAAUAAUAUGGGUGCUUUUCUCAGUUCACACCUUCCCCCCCACCCCCACCGCUUUGCUGAGAUCUUCAUUCAACACAAGAAAAUACCAGCAAUGUGUAGAAAUACUGUGCUUUAAUGAACUCCUUAAAUAGAAAUGCUGCUAUGAAAACAUACAGUGGGAGGAGAGGGUUUCUCCCUUAUUCACCCCGUUCCCACAGAAGACUAAGAAAAGAUUUCAAAGUAGUGUUGAGGGGUUGAGAAUGAGGUCUCUAGGGCAUCACUGUUGGGACUGAUGAAAAGGGUCUCUCAUAUCACAGUUUUGACGGCCAUCCAAAAGGUACAGAAUUGCCUGGGGAAAAAAGGCAAUCACAUUCUGAACUGGUCUUGUUCCUUAGUUUUCAAAUCACAAGAAAUGAAAAUAGCCCCAGGAAUCAAUCAAAUCGGGAGCCCUGGAGGUU
RNAcentral lists this long non-coding RNA (771 nucleotides) under Mus pahari (shrew mouse). RNAcentral describes it as "lncRNA (MGP_PahariEiJ_G0003489.1)". The record is from RNAcentral. Lineage: Eukaryota; Metazoa; Chordata; Mammalia; Rodentia; Muridae.